RNAcentral lists this ribosomal RNA (480 nucleotides) under uncultured bacterium. RNAcentral's name for it is "partial 16S ribosomal RNA". It matches the Rfam family "Bacterial small subunit ribosomal RNA", at positions 28 to 507 of the family's 1533-position model. The record is from RNAcentral.
GACGAACGCUGGCGGCGUGCUUAACACAUGCAAGUCGAACGAUGAAGCAAAGAAUUGAAGCUUCGGCAGAAAUUCAUUUCGGAUUAGUGGCAGACGGGUGAGUAACGCGUGAGCAACCUACCUCUUACAAAGGGAUAGCCUCGGGAAACCGGGAUUAAUACCAUAUAACAUUGCGACGAAGCAUUUCGAUGCAAUCAAAGCUACGGCGGUAAGAGAUGGGCUCGCGUCCCAUUAACCAGAUGGUGAGGUAACGGCUCACCAUAGUAACGAUGGGUAACCGGCGUGCGAGGGGGAACGGUCACACUGGAACUGAGACACGACCCAGACUCCUACGGGCGGCAGCAGUGGGGAAUAUUGCGCAAUGGAGCGAACGCUGAUGCAGCGAGGCCGCGAGAGUGAUGAAGGGAUUCGUUUCGUAAAACUCUGUUCUAUGGGAAGAAAAGGACUGUACCAUAGGAGGAAGCACCGGCUAAAUACGUG